AUUGAACGCUGGCGGGAGGCCUUACACAUGCAAGUCGAACGGAGCGGCGGACGGGUGAGUAAUGCCUCGGAAUCUGCCUGGUAGCGGGGGAUAACGUCCGGAAAGGGGAGCUAAUACCGCAUACUAUUGGAUGAGCCUAGGUCGGAUUAGCUAGUUGGUGGGGUAAAGGCCUACCAAGGCGACGAUCCGUAGCUGGUUUGAGAGGAGGAACAGCCACACUGGAACUGAGAAACGGCCCAGACUCCUACGGGAGGCAGCAGUGGGGAAUUGUGGACAAUGGGGGAAACCCUGAUCCAGCCAUGCCGCGUGUGUGAAGAAGGUCUUCGGGUUGUAAAGCACUUUAAGUAGGGAAGCGGUACCUGCAGAAUAAGCACCGGCUAACUUCGUGCCAGCAGCCGCGGUAAUUC
This 407-nucleotide ribosomal RNA is filed under the name uncultured bacterium. RNAcentral describes it as "partial 16S ribosomal RNA". It matches the Rfam family "Bacterial small subunit ribosomal RNA", at positions 30 to 526 of the family's 1533-position model. The record is from RNAcentral.